Molecule: long non-coding RNA, 2282 nt
Filed under: Oncorhynchus kisutch (coho salmon)
Lineage: Eukaryota; Metazoa; Chordata; Actinopteri; Salmoniformes; Salmonidae
Description: lncRNA (ENSOKIG00005046281.1)
Source: RNAcentral
AGUGUUUUAAAGCUGUUUUUGAUGUACUCACUACAGCAUUCCCAGAGUAUGGUGACGCAGGUCAAGUCCAAUCCUACCUUACUGGCACAUAGGAUGGCCAAUGUCAGACACAGACGACAGGACAGACGCCCAGUUGACAGCACCAUCCCCAAGUCCAGGCUGAUUACCUGGGAGCCCUUGUAGGACUUUGUGAAGACCAGCCACAUGGUCAACACACCUGUACAGACCAUGCACAUCAUGGGGGACCUGGGACCAGCAGGCAAGUGAGUAGCACAAGGGGAAAAACCACUAUGUAGCCUAUACACUUAUUACACUGCUUUGUAUGUAAUAACUUUGAAGUAGAUUCCAAUUCAGGCAUUGAAAAGUGGCAUUUUAUUAUUGUAUUUCUCAGACUUGGCCAAAAGGAGAAGGAAUGCUUGUCUGCACGAUAAGAGCAGAUGGAAAUGGAGUGGUUACCAUCAACAAAGGCAAGGAGCACUACAGGCCAGUGACCUGCACCCGCUGAAGUCAAAAUAUUUUACCCCUAGCUCAAGUAAGGGUCACUUACUUGGUAGCAGAAUUGAUACAUUCCCAGCCAUUUACUGUGAUAUGAUGCUGUUUGUUUGCACCCAAGGUUGAGACGGAGGGGGAGAAGAGGGAGGUGUGGCGUCAGACCAGAGGAGACAGAACAGCAGCAGUGCAUAUAUUUUUUCACCUUUAUUUAACCAGGUAGGCAAGUUGAGAACAAGUUCUCAUUUACAAUUGCGACCUGGCCAAGAUAAAGCAAAGCAGUUCGACACAUACAACGACACAGAGUUACACAUGGAGUAAAACAAACAUACAGUCAAUAAUACAGUAUAAACAAGUCUAUAUACGAUGUGAGCAAAUGAGGUGAGAUAAGGGAGGUAAAGGCAAAAAAAGGCCGUGGUGGCAAAGUAAAUGCAAUAUAGCAAGUAAAACACUGGAAUGGUAGAUUUGCAAUGGAAGAAAGUGCAAAGUAGAAAUAAAAAUAAUGGGGUGUAAAGGAGCAAAAUAAAUAAAUUAAAUACAGUAGGGAAAGAGGUAGUUGUUUGGGCUAAAUUAUAGGUGUGCUAUGUACAGGUGCAGUAAUCUGUGAGCUGCUCUGACAGUUGGUGCUUAAAGCUAGUGAGGGAGAUAAGUGUUUCCAGUUUCAGAGAUUUUUGUAGUUCGUUCCAGUCAUUGGCAGCAGAGAACUGUAAGGAGAGGCGGCCAAAGAAAUAAUUGGUUUUGAGGGUGACUAGAGAGAUAUACCUGCUGGAGCGUGUGCUACAGGUGGGAGAUGCUAUGGUGACCAGCGAGCUGAGAUAAGGGGGGACUUUACCUAGCAGGGUCUUGUAGAUGACAUGGAGCCAGUGGGUUUGGCGACGAGUAUAAAGCGAGGGCCAACCAACGAGAGCGUACAGGUCGCAAUGGUGGGUAGUAUAUGGGGCUUUGGUGACAAAACGGAUUGCACUGUGAUAGACUGCAUCCAAUUUGUUGAGUAGGGUAUUGGAGGCUAUUUUGUAAAUGACAUCUCCAAAGUUUAGGAUUGGUAGGAUGGUCAGUUUUACAAGGGUGUGUUUGGCAGCAUGAGUGAAGGAUGUUUACAUUCUAACCAGACACCUAGGUAUUUGUAGUUGUCCACGUAUUCUAAGCCAGAGCCGUCCAGAGUAGUGAUGUUGGACAGGUGCAGGCAGCAAUCGGUUGAAGAGCAUGCAUUUAGUUUUACUUCUAUUUAAGAGCAAUUGGAGGCCACAAAGGAAGAGUUGUAUGGCAUUGAAGCUUGCCUGGAGGGUUGUUAACACAGUGUCCAAAGAAGGGCCAGAAAUAUACAGAAUGGUGUCGUCUGCGUAGAGGUGGAUCAGAGACUCACCAGCAGCGAGAGCGACAUCAUUGAUGUAAACAGAGAAGAGAGUCGGUCCAAGAAUUGAACCCUGUGGCACCCCCAUAGAGACUCCCAGAGGUCCGGACAGCAGACCCUCCGAUUUGACACAUUGAACUCUAUCAGAGAAGUAGUUGGUGAUCCAGGCGAGGCAAUCAUUUGAGAAACCAAGGCUGUCGAGUCUGCCGAUGAAGAUGUGGUGAUUGACAGAGUCGAAAGACUUGGCCAGAUCAAUGAAUAUGACUGCACAGUAAUGUUUCUUAUCAAUGGCGGUUAAGAUCGUUUAGGACCUUGACUACACUCAAUAAGUAGGAGUAACUUACAAAAAGCUCUGGACAUAGGUAUUUUUUUAUGACUUGAGGAGCCUGUUCUCGGCUAUACUGGUCUGCAUUUCUGCCAUGCUGUCUAUAUUUUCGGCCAU